GCAUCGGCGAGGCCAGGGGUAAAGGCGAGGUCGAAGAUGCCGUCGAACAAGGGGAGAUUGUGGGGGUAGGCGCGGCUGACGAGUGAGAGGAAAUCGAGAAGGUCGACGCCGGUGACGUCGGCAACGCCGGAAUCGCGGAGGGCGGCGACCGACUGGCCGGCGCCGGCGGAGACACAGAGGACGCAGGAGGAGUUGGAGAGAAGGCGGAGGGUGCGGAGGGGGGAGAACACAGCGGCGGAGAGGGAGGCGGCGUGGCGAGAUUGUCGGUGCAGCCCUCUUGCUCUCAGCGCCGGCCAUGGUGGCGGAGGAGGACGACGACGGGACGGAUGAAUUUGGCCGGAGAGAAAGUGAGAAUAAGUUAAGGAAAUAGUUUAAUAAGGUACGGGCAAAAUAGGUAUUUUAAUUUGGUUUUAACUCUGGUAUACAUUUAACCCAUGUUUAACCCGAGUUAGUUUAACAGGGACUAACUGCAGGGGUAUUUUGGAAUAACGGUGGAACAUAUGAUGGGCAUUUUAGAAAGAAAAAAAAAAGUAGGGGUAUAUCGGAUAUUUCCAGACGCAUGAGGGGU
Molecule: long non-coding RNA, 568 nt
Filed under: Ananas comosus (pineapple)
Lineage: Eukaryota; Viridiplantae; Streptophyta; Magnoliopsida; Poales; Bromeliaceae
Description: long non-coding RNA (ACOM_LNC010400)
Source: RNAcentral